CAUAAACAAAGUUUGUUAAUUUAGAAGUGAUGAUUGGUUCAAUUUAGAAGUUUUAAUCUAAUUUAAGAUCAGUGUCAUAUUCUCACAUUUUACGAUCUCGACUCCCCAUACCAAUCCUAAGGAAAAUCUCUGUUUUGACUUGCAGCAGUGUAGCACAUAACUGAGACUUGCUUUGGCUAGUAGUUGUGAAUGAGUCAUUUGCUUAUAAAGCAAUUCUUACAAAAAUCCCUCUGCAAAGUGAGGAUUUAAGUAAGAUUGCCCUUAUAUUAGAAGAUAUAGUAGCAGGCAUGUUGACAUCCAGUGCAACAGUUUUAUUGAAAUAUGAUCUUCCGUACUGUUAUUUAUCCCGCAUAGGAAGCUCCUUUGUUGAAUUGACUAUGGGAUACAACUUGAGGAACACGACCAUGGCUGAGAUCUGCACUGCAAGCAGAAGAGAUAAUCAAGAAGCAUGGUGUUGCUCUUGGCAAGAAAUGACACUAGGCUAAAAAACCACCAAUCAGUAAUGUUACAACCCAAUAUCAACUGGGGUAAUUGAGAUAAAUUAGUUUAAUGUCACAAUUUAUCUGAGGUUUAUAUUUCAUAUCUUUUGGUUUUUGAAGAGUUGUGGAUGCAACUAUUGUCCUUAAGAUUUUGAGGUCAAACAGGGAAUAUGCUGCACAUUUCAUGGCAGUCAUUCCAGUUCUGGACAUGAAUCAUAAUGUUUGAUUUAAUAUUUAAUUUUUUAGGUUCUUAGAAUAAUUCAGUUUAUAGUUGUUCCUAGAAUUAUGAAAAAUAUUUAUGCUUAGAUAUAGAUAUGAGGUGUGAAACUAGCCUGAGGAGCUUGGCUUCUUCAUAUUAAAAUAGUUUUAAUUGGAUUUUUAAGGGACCAGAUAUUGAUUUUUGUGAAUAAUAUUUUUUUUAAGAAGCUUUUGUCAAUGAAA
Long non-coding RNA from Medicago truncatula (barrel medic), 920 nucleotides. RefSeq lists it as uncharacterized. The transcript has 3 exons. NCBI's taxonomy places the organism in Eukaryota, Viridiplantae, Streptophyta, Magnoliopsida, Fabales, Fabaceae. The record is from RefSeq and is a predicted model, not a curated record.